UAACUUGAGAGUUUGAUCCUGGCUCAGAACGAACGCUGGCGGCACGCUUAACACAUGCAAGU
This 62-nucleotide ribosomal RNA is filed under the name Holosporaceae bacterium. RNAcentral's name for it is "partial 16S ribosomal RNA". It matches the Rfam family "Bacterial small subunit ribosomal RNA", at positions 1 to 62 of the family's 1533-position model. The record is from RNAcentral. Lineage: Bacteria; Pseudomonadati; Pseudomonadota; Alphaproteobacteria; Holosporales; Holosporaceae.